This 319-nucleotide unclassified non-coding RNA is filed under the name Hevea brasiliensis (rubber tree). Lineage: Eukaryota; Viridiplantae; Streptophyta; Magnoliopsida; Malpighiales; Euphorbiaceae. The record is from RNAcentral.
GAGGCUGCUAUCAGAGACUCGAGUUUCUUGGGGAUGCUGUCUUGGAUUACUUAAUCACAUCAUAUCUGUUUUCUGUUUAUCCCAAGUUGAAGCCUGGUCACUUGACAGAUCUGAGAUCAGCAUUGGUGAACAACAGAGCCUUUGCCAAUGUUGCAAUUGAUCGAUCUUUCCACAAGUUUCUUUUAUGUGAUUCCAGCAACCUUUCAGAGGCAAUAAAAAAUUAUGUGGAUAGUGUUAAAACACCAGCAUCAGGAAGGGGUUUGCUUGAAGGUCCAAAAUGUCCCAAGGUGCUUGGUGACUUGGUGGAGUCUUGUCUGGG